GGAGAGUUGGCCGAGCGGUUGAUGGCGGCUGUCUUGAAAACAGUUGUGCCUGUUGAGGGUACCGGGGGUUCGAAUCCCUCACUCUCCGCCA
This 91-nucleotide transfer RNA is filed under the name Candidatus Margulisiibacteriota bacterium. RNAcentral's name for it is "tRNA-Ser". It matches the Rfam family "tRNA". Rfam says of the family: Transfer RNA (tRNA) molecules are approximately 80 nucleotides in length. Their secondary structure includes four short double-helical elements and three loops (D, anti-codon, and T loops). Lineage: Bacteria; Bacillati; Candidatus Margulisiibacteriota. The record is from RNAcentral.